CUGUGGGACUAACAUGGCUAUGAUCUGUCGCACAGACUUCAGGCUGGCACCCAGGCAAAAUUCUAUGCUGUAGUAAAUGCAUCAUGCACAUUUGUAACAACAUGUACAUAACAAUGUCACAAAAUACUUUCACGGUGACACCUAGAUUAGUGUUUUAUUGAAUAGCUGAUGAUAUAAACUGGCUCAUUUGAUGCCAAGACUGACCAUCACCACCAUGCCAAGGUCCUCACUGAUCAGAGGCCUAACCCAAGGAGGUGGUCAUGUGCAGACCCAGCGGUGGGGAGGAAAGAUGCUGCAGAGGAGACAGAUGCCCACAGAGGCCCCUGAGCGGAUACAAUGCUCACUAAGUGGUAAGUAUAGACUCAAUGUAGGCUGUAAGGUCUCCCCCUGUGCAAAUGGGACCCCAUCCACUUGAGAGUCAAGGGUCUGUUUGGGUGGCAGGGAUGGCCACUUCUGAAGGUAGAAAGGAAAAUAAGCCACCAAAUUGGUAUCUUUCUGUGAAAUGGACAUCGUGCUUAGAAUCUCCAUUUUCCCCAUAACCUGGAGGAAUAAGUACUGUCAUCUGCAUUUUAUAGCUGAGGAAUCUGACUCAACAAAAUUAAAUUACUCGCCUAAGCAAUUAGCAAUUAACCAAGUCUUUCUGACUCAGAAACCCAGCUGUUGCCUGUUCAUAUCCAGCCCUUGUACUGGAGUCAAGAUCUGGCCUGUUCUCAAUGCAGCAAGAUGCAGGCAGAUCACACUGGACUCCCAGCCCUGAAUCUGGCUCAAGGGGACAUCAAAUUUGACUGGGUCAUGGGGCUCAGGAGCAUCACUCUCAAAAAUAGCAGUACAGGAAGAGGCGAUGGCCCUAAACAGCAUUUGCAGGCAGAUCCCAUGUUAAUCGUAAGGGUCAGGACUCUCUCACUUUUCUGUCUCUCUCUCUGUCUCUCCUCUAGGGCUGACCCCACAUUGGACACCACUGCAUCCAUGUCCAUCACACACCACAGCUGCCUUUUCUUCUGCCUGCUUAUGGGAAAGUCCCCUCCUCUCCUCCGUUUUCUUCUCUUCCUGCCCCUAUCACACUGUGCACUUCUCCCUUUCCUUACAGAACCACCAUCAACUUUAGGAGGAGGGAAAGGGGUGGCUCUGGCAGGAAAAGCCAGAAUCCCCUCUAGCCAGCAGAGAGAGAGGAAUGGCUGCAUGUUUUCUCCCCCAAUCCAAGGCACUGGGUCUUGGCUGGGUUGCAGGUUCCAAGCUGCUCUCCUGCUGUGUCGGUGAGUUCUGGUCAACCUGCAACCUCCUGAUGUGGCCACUGCAGUUCAUCGAGUCUUCAGGGACUCCCCAUGGCCUGGAGUACUUUGCCUUGCUUACACGGGAGAGGAGAAUGGAUUUAUAGAGAACAUCAUCUAAAUCCAACUUGACCAUUGUGUGGCCACACUUGCUAGAUUGCUAUAGUCUAAAUCUAGCAUUGUAGAAAGACGGGGGAGCUUGGAGCUGCACAAACUCAGGUCUGGAACUGGCUCCUUACCUUGGAAGGUGAAUGAUCCUGGCAGGACUCUUAGCCUCCCUGGGCCUCAGUUUCUUUAUCUGUUUCAUGGGAAUGAGGAUCUCUGCUGGGUGGUUGGGUGAUGUGAGGGCUGUGUGAAAACAGCUUGUCAAUACAAGCCGAAAUAGAAAUAUUUCUCCACAGAUUAUGAAGGUCAAAUGAGAGAAUAUAUUUAAAUUAAAUGGAAAAUUAAAAUGGCAAAAAAGGCAAAGCUGUAUUGAAAGUUCCGAGCUUCUGUAUGAGCAGCUUUUUGACUAUGUAAGAAUCCUGUACUCGUUCCCCCUGAAUAUAAAAAAAAAAAAAAGUUGAAGGAGGCAGAAGGGAGAGUGAUGCACGAUGGGCGAGGACUUCACCUGCUGUUGCUGGCUUUGAGGAUGGAGGAAGGAGGCCACAAACCUAGAAGCUGGAGCCCCUAGAAGCUAGAAAAGGCAGGGACCCGAUUCAUCCCUUGAGCCUCCAGAAGGGACAUAGCCCUGCCAGCCCCUUGACUUUAGCCCAGUGAGAUCCUCUUAGGACUUUUGGCAACCAGAACUAUAAGACAGAAAUGGAAGCCACUGAGUCUAUAGCUGUUUGUUGCAGCAGCAAUAGAAAACUAAUGCAGAGCCCAAGAAAUCACUGGUGAUGAGAUGGGGAAAGUGGGCUCAGGAGGUCUGGAUCUGUGAUGAGAUGGGGAAAGUGGGCUCAGGAGGUCUGGAUCUGUGAUGAGAUGGGGGAAGUGGGCUCAGGAGGUCUGGAUCUGGGGUGGGGAUCUGGAGUGGAAGGGGAAUUCAUUUGUUCAUUGUCUAUCCUUUUGCAUUGAUUGAUUUUUUUCUAUAUAUAUAUGUGAAUUUUCACAAUAAAAGUUUUUUCCAAAAUAAAAUAAAAGAAACAAAAGGGGCUUUUUGCAACCCAAUUCCUAUCUAUGUCUGAGUCCACUUGUAUUGAAUGAGUCUUUCUGCCAACGUUCUUAUAUUUGGGUGACAAUCUGAAUGUCAGUGACCAAUCAGAGCAGAGGCAGACCUUGGAGUGGGCAGGGCAUCCUGAGGGCCCUGAUUCCUGCCAUGAGGCAUAACCCUUUAGGUGCCAGACCAUGGGGAGGUCCAGGGGUUGCAGGGGAGGGCUGUGCAUCUGCAAUGGCGCUCAGGAGGCUCCCGGUGGUGGCAAUUGGUGAAUCUGCACAGUGGUGUUUCAAUAUUGUCACAACCCUGCUGCCUCUCAUGCUCUCAAAAAGCAUUUCUCUUACCUGUGACAGACUUCCUAUACCUAACAGCUUGCAAAAAUAUUCCAGGUUAAUGAGAAUAAUCUCUCGGAGCCAUACCUCCCUGCUUGGGGUCUCAGUUUCCCCAACUGUCCCCAGACAAGUUAGGCUAGAAGGCCCCUGAGCCUCAGCCCCUCUAUACCUCUCCUGUCACCCAGACCUGAUCUGGGUCUUGCACCCUGGGUGCAGCAUGACAGAGCUGGGCAGGGGCUGGCUCUGGGCCAGAGGACCCUUUCUGAUGGACUUCGGCUGUUGGCCUUCCAGGGGAGACUGAUCAACCUCACAAGAGUCAUAAGGUGAGUAGCGGUGGGCAAAUCCAUCCCCCUCAUCUUAGAUUUAUGGGGAUACAGAGAGAAAGAGGAGACACUCCAGGAAGACCUGCAGGUGGGAGUACCAGGUUGAAACCAAGGACACCUUCCUGGAGGAGCUGCUGUUUGAGCCAGCUCUGAGAACAGGUGGGGACAGGACUGGAGAGGAGGAGGGGGUCUCCUAUGAGCAAAGACUGGCCACCACCCCAUGUAACACCCCCACAGGGCUCCUGUGGCAUCCCUGUCCAGUCCCUGUCACCACCCAGUUUUUCCCUCUGGACCCAGGAAUUCAAAGUAAGCAAGGAGGUCCGCUGCUCCAGUUGGCUGCCAAUAAUUACAACCUUGAGCCCAAGCAGCACUUUGGGUCCUGGUUUGGGACCAUGAAGCGGCUCGGUGAGACUGAGAGGUAAGGCCAGGGCAGGAAUUGGGACAGCAGGAUUGAACUCUCCCUGGGGGCCAGCCUCAGAAAGCCUGUGGCCAUGGCCUCUUGGUCAACAUCAGAUCCUGUGGUCUGGCAAUGCCUGGGGUACCCAGACCUCACUCUGGACAGGCCCUGGGAGGGGGCCCUGGUGAGAUUCCUGGCAGCCUCACAGCCACUCUUCUGUCCAUAGCUACAACCUGUCAUGCCAGCUGGAGGCUCCAUCCCAGUUGGCUGGGAGCACAAAGGCCAGGGAGAUAGACAUCACCCACCACAGGGGCCAGUCAGGGCCUGAACCAGGGCGGGCAGAGGUUGGCUGCCUUGGGCUAUGGGUGGGCUCAGGGAGUCAGACAGCAAGGGACUAGCCUCCUAUCCUACUGCUGACCAGCCCUGUGACUGGGGAGAGUCACCUUACUUCUCUGGGCCUCAGUUUCCCCCUCUGUGGAGUGACGCUAAAUGAUCUCUCUGGAGACUGGGAUCAAUAGGGCACUGGUGAUUGAUGAGGCACUCAGCACAUGCCUGGAGCACACAGUGCAGGGCUGUGGUGGGGAGGUGGCCUGAGUUCCUGGGGAGUCACCCAUGUGUGCCUGCCCUUCCGACCAGCCACCAGGCCCUCAGGGCAGAGCCCACUACCAGCAGCAGCUCCACACCCCGAGACCAGCUCAGAGGCAGCCCCUACCUCAGCAGCAGGGACAUCAUGGACACUUUGAGCUGGUACUAGGGUGGCUUCUCCAGCUCCCACGUGGAGAGGGGUCCCAGCUGAGUCCCACUCACAUGGAGUCUCAUGCCCCUGAGAGUGCCAUUCACCACUGGCCAGGCUCAUGAGGCCGCAUGAGAGGGGGGUCACCGGGGAGGAGAUAUCGGGGGAACAGAGAGGGUGGUUGAAUUUUUGUAUAAUAGGCAGUGCAAGUGUUUACCGUUUGGGAGGGGAAAGGUUUGUUGUUAUUAGCAAUGCUACACUUGAAUAUUAUACUAAAAUCCAGUUUCUUUAUAACCUGGGAGUUGCUCUUUUGUUCUUUCUUUUCCCAUCUUCAUUAAAAUGAGAUGCAGACUCUCACGGUCCACAGUCGAUUAAGAAAUCUUGCACGGCCAUCAGGUUUUGUCUUGGAGAGCAGAGUUUCAGUACCAUCAGCCUGGCAAGGAGCUGGGCCUGCUCCUCAGAGCACCAGGGACUGCGAGAUUUGGCAUGUACAUUUGCAAGGACCAUGUCCUCACCCAGAGUGGUGCCUGCCUUUCUACAGUUUUUCAGGAAGAGGAAACAUUUUCUGCUUCUCUCGCUGAGGUUUUUUUUAACCACCCAUUAGGAACCUAUACAUUUCAGGAUCGAACACUGGGAUUCCCUCAGCACUAAAGGAGGAAAAUUGCAAACAGAGCAGAAAGUGCAAUGUGGAAAGGUCAGGCUGAGGAAGGUUCUUUGCCAGUAGACUGAGGGCAGGAAAGACACUGCCUCCUCAGUCUCCCACUAGGGAACUUGUGAUUCUUGUCCCCUGACCUCAGAAUUCCUUGUCAUGCUUGUUUUGUCUCCAAGGGAAGGGUUUGAAUUACACAAUUUAAGGCUAGAGUGGGCCUCGUGCAGUUAACAUUAACCCUCUCUCUCCUUUGCUGGCCGAGGUGAAGUCUAGGACCAUGUAGUUCUGACGUCCACUCUCUUGGGGGAUCACCAGUUCACCCAUCUCACCCGGCAAGCUGGGCCCUAGAGUUUGGCGACAGGCAUCUUCCACCCACCUGGGAGGCAGGGUUCAACACUCUGCCACUGACCUUGUUUCCUUCUUCUGCCACCUGCUUAGGCAGCCAGAAGGGCUUGUCCAGCCAGCACCUGGGCUUUGGUGCUCCUCAAGCAGAUGGAGGAAGUUUCAGGCACUUGGCUCCUCAGGUGUCUGCCAUCCAGGUGCUCUUCAGGCCUGCCCAGCAGAGCUCUCUUGAUCCAGCUAGAACUGGCCAGAACUGACUCACUCAGGAAUGUGUAGACUUUGGCAUCAGGGGCUGCUUUAAUUUGCACAAUUUCCAAAUACCUCUUUUUUCUUCUUUUUCUGAUGAGUCAUCUCCCUAGACUUGCAUUUUAAAGAAAUAGAUAGUUAUCAGGUUCCAGAGAAGACAUGGUAGAACAUUUAUAUCUCAAAGACACAGAGCUGAGACUUCAGGUUUAGAUACUAUAAUUUGCCUAAACCAAAAAGGAAGGUGUAGGUAAAGUUCUAGUCAAGACAGGAUGGCCAGGAAAAACACCUUAAACCAAGGGAUGGCUUGCUUUGCUGAUUUAAGCCAAUGGCUUCUUUAUCAUAAGACUUCCCAGUGAUUUAGUCCUCCCUCUCUUCCAGUGCACAGAGACAUACCCCUCCUUACAAAUAAAAAUGUUCUUUAUAGAUGUAAAUUUAUUUUACAAAAAUGUUUCAAAAUAACCAGAUGAAUUUUAUGCCAGAAAGACUUGGUUUUUUUUUUUCAUUACUAGAAAUGAAACCGUAAGUAUUUGUUGUAUUGAUAUACUUAGGCUUAGACCUAUGUUUAACAAGAAAGCCAAAUAAUAGCACUGUGGUUAUACUCUAGCCUAUUUUUCCAAACCAUCAUUUUAUUAUUAAGGAAACAAAGGAUCAAAUACCUUUCAUUCAUCUGAUAUGAUCCUUUAAAACACAUUCUACUAAUAAGUCCCAUUUGGAACAUCUGAAAAUCUUUUAAUAAAACUUUUUAAAGAUGAGCUCAUGGCUUAGUGUAAAUUUCACAAGCUUAAUUAGGUCAAAUGGAAGGAACUCAGAUGAGUAGUUGCCCAAUCAGAGCCCAUUAUUUGUAAGUCAUCAGCCCCUUCCAUGACCUUAAAACUCCACUCUGACCUAACUAUUGCAAACCUAUAUACAACAAAGUGAAAGGAUUAAUUUUCAUUCAUCAACCUCUCAAUCCCAGAUUUUCAAAGAAAAAACCUAUGUAAGGAAUACUUACCAAAACCAGAAAGGAAAAUUAGAGCCUGCAUACUUAAGAGUCAAAUUUGUUCCACUACAGCCAGGUCGCAUACAAUUACAUCAUUUGGUUCUUCAUACACUCUAGAACUGACCAGGACAGAGUUUAGCAUAGAAAAACUGUAAGAAAUAGGUUCCGAAACAUAGAAAUUGCAAAGUUCAAAAGGCUAUGAAAAAAGACUAAUGUAAAUGAGAGACUACCUUCCCUUUGUUUUAAAGAAAUAGACCCAUCAGAGAAAUGCAAAUCAAAACCACAAUGAGAUACCAUCUCACACCAGUUAGAAUGGCGUUCAUUAAAAAGUCAGGAAACAACAGGUGCUGGAGAGGAUGUGGAGAAAUAGGAACACUUUCACACUGUUGGUGGGACUGUAAACUAGUUCAACCAUUGUGGAAGACAAUGUGUCCAUUCCUCAGGGAUCUAGAACUAGAAAUACCAUUUGACCCAGCCAUCCCACUACGGGGUAUAUACCCAAAGGAUUAUAAAUCAUGCUUCUGUAAAGACACACGCACAUGUAUGUUUAUUGCAGCACUAUUCACAAUAGCAAAGACUUGGAAACAACCCAAAUGUCCAAAAAUGAUAGACUGGAUUAAGAAAAUGUGGCACAUAUACACCAUGGAAUACUAUGCAUCUAUAAAAAAUGAUGAGUUCAUGUCCUUUGUAGUGACAUGGAUGAAGCUGGAAACCAUCAUUCUCAGCAAACUAUCGCAAGGACAAAAAACCAAACACCGCAUGUUCUCACUCAUAGGUGGGAAUUGAACAAUGAGAACACUUGGACACAGGAAGGGGAACAUCACACAUGGGGGCCUGUUGUGGGGUGGGGGGAAGGGGGAGGGAUAGCACUAGGAGAUAUGCCUAAUAUAAAUGAUGAGUUAAUGGGUGCAGCACACCAACAUGGCACAUGUAUACAUAUGCAACAAACCUGCACAUUGUGCAUGUGCACCCUAGAACUUAAAGUAUAAUAAAAAAAAAUAAAAAAUAAAAAAAGAAAGAAAUAGAUGUUCUGUAAAAAUAUACACAAUUUUUACAGACAAAUACAUUUAUAAGUUGUUUUUAUCUUAAAAAUUGAGGAUAUUUCAUAUUUAUAACUAAUUAUUGAGCCUUAAGUUUUCUUGGCCAUUUCUAGGCUAAUAAACUAAGAAUCAUGUAAACUAAGCCAAAGUAGAAUAGACAUAAAAGUCCUGAACACUUCAACUUCCUAUUCUUCAAGAAGUAUACCUGGCAAAGCUCAUUUGAGAGAGGAAAAGCUUUCCUCCACCCUCUGUUUUACAGCGCUGAGGCUUCUCAUCACAGUUCUAUGACUUGUAGCUUAAAUCCAUGUCACAUGGUCACUGGCAUUGUUAGUGCUUCUCUUUUAACACUGUAGGAAUUAAUCAAUUCGGUGACAUAUUUAAUUAAUUCUAUCG
This 7837-nucleotide long non-coding RNA is filed under the name Pongo abelii (Sumatran orangutan). RNAcentral describes it as "lincRNA". The record is from RNAcentral. Lineage: Eukaryota; Metazoa; Chordata; Mammalia; Primates; Hominidae.